GACCCAGUGGCCUAAUGGAUAAGUCAUUGAUCUCCUAAGCCAGGAGUUGUGGGCUCAAGUCACAUCUGAGUUA
RNAcentral lists this transfer RNA (73 nucleotides) under Chelonia mydas (Green sea turtle). It matches the Rfam family "tRNA". From Rfam's summary of the family: Transfer RNA (tRNA) molecules are approximately 80 nucleotides in length. Their secondary structure includes four short double-helical elements and three loops (D, anti-codon, and T loops). Lineage: Eukaryota; Metazoa; Chordata; Testudines; Cheloniidae. The record is from Rfam by way of RNAcentral.